UAUGGCACUUAUUUUUCCUACUGUAUCAUAUUUGUAGCCUGAUUUUUUUCAUAAAUCUGUUGUUUACGAACGAUGAUCCAUUUUUAAAAGAAAUACAAUACUUCGGACCAUUUUAUUUGUCAGUAUGGUGUUCAUUACUACAGAUUGUUUAUUUAGUGUUAUCUCUAGCGUCAAAUAAUGCAAAUCAUCUCCCGAGAAAAAUGCGAAAGAUCAAACAUAAGUUAGAAUCGCUGAAAGGGUACAUCUUCAUCACUUUUGUAUUACCCUUGACCACAUACGUUACCGCGGCUUUUUGGACAAUUUUUUUUCUCAAUAAGGAUUUCGUGCCGUCUGCUACGUUUGCUCUUAUGCCGUCAUGGAUUAAUCAUGGGUAUCAUACAAACGGAAUGAUUCUCGUAUUGAUGGAUCUUCUUUUUGAAAAUAACUCUAUUCCACCUGUUAAAUCUGCUCUUUUUGGAAUUACUCUACUUGCUAUCGUCUACUAUUCAAUUUUUUUUGGAAUAUACAUUCUUUUCGGAAAAUGGCUCUAUAUUUUCUUUUAUGAAAUGACUUGACUGCAAAUUGUUACUGCUUUUAUUAUAACUUAUUUGCUUCACGUAGGACUUGUUACAACAGGAGUUAAAGUACAUCAGUCACUAAGAUCACGAGUCAAAAAGGUAUAAUAUUUUGGUUAUUAUUUUGUAUUUUUUAUUAUGUUCAUAUGUAUUUGAUUUAAUAUAUUGACUUAUUG
This 730-nucleotide unclassified non-coding RNA is filed under the name Agrilus planipennis (emerald ash borer). RNAcentral's name for it is "androgen-dependent TFPI-regulating protein-like, transcript variant X6". The record is from RNAcentral. Lineage: Eukaryota; Metazoa; Arthropoda; Insecta; Coleoptera; Buprestidae.